RNAcentral lists this ribosomal RNA (460 nucleotides) under uncultured bacterium. Its description in RNAcentral is "partial 16S ribosomal RNA". It matches the Rfam family "Bacterial small subunit ribosomal RNA", at positions 338 to 795 of the family's 1533-position model. The record is from RNAcentral.
CCUACGGGAGGCAGCAGUGAGGAAUAUUGGUCAAUGGACGAAAGUCUGAACCAGCCAAGUAGCGUGCAGGAUGACUGCCCUAUGGGUUGUAAACUUCUUUUAUAUGGGAGUAAAAUGUUCCACGUGUGGGAUUUUGUAUGUACCAUAUGAAUAAGGAUCGGCUAACUCAGUGCCAGCAGCCGCGGUAAUACGGAGGAUCCGAGCGUUAUCCGGAUUUAUUGGGUUUAAAGGGAGCGUAGGUGGAUUGUUAAGUUAGUUGUGAAAGUUUGGGGCUCAACCGUAAAAUUGCAGUUGAAACUGGCAGUCUAGAGUACAGUAGAGGUGGGCGGAAUUCGUGGUGUAGCGGUGAAAUGCGUAGAUAUCACGAAGAACUCCGAUUGCGAAGGCAGCUCACUGGACUGCAACUGACACUGAGGCACGAAAGUGUGGGUAUCAAACAGGAUUAGAUACCCUUGUAGUC